UUUAUUUUGAUACCUUUUUUUUUCUUAUAUGACAUAAAUUGAUUUUUUUUUCGUUGCAGCCUUGUAGGGCAUAUUUUGAUUUCGGGUUCUACUUUUCUGCUAGAAGAGCCAAAGCACGGACGAUCAAGGGCAGAAGCUGUAAACAUGCCCAUUGUUGAGGGCAAAGUCAUAGUUAUGUUUGGCAGAUAUUUAGCGAUCCUUUCUCCAAAGUAUUCUAGAAACAACUACUACAUAUUUUAAUAAUAAGAACAGUUUUCAGUUGUCCUUCAUCUCUCAAGAAUACUUGGCAACACUGCUUUCAUCGUCAUCGGCGGCAACACAAUAACACUAGAAACUAAUAGCAACAGUGAAGAGAUCCAUUUUGAUAAAGUUACGGAAGGUUGUCAUGCGCCGGUGUCUCCGCCAUUUGGACGAUUCAAUGUUGCAGCUCUUCCAUUAUUUGUUAAUUGCAUGAAGUAUUCUAAUCCGUUGGUCAUGGUCUGAUAGUUGUUAUUACUAACGCACUAAAUCUAGGUCUAGNNNNNNNNNNNNNNNNNNNNNNNNNNNNNNNNNNNNNNNNNNNNNNNNNNNNNNNNNNNNNNNNNNNNNNNNNNNNNNNNNNNNNNNNNNNNNNNNNNNNNNNNNNNNNNNNNNNNNNNNNNNNNNNNNNNNNNNNNNNNNNNNNNNNNNNNNNNNNNNNNNNNNNNNNNNNNNNNNNNNNNNNNNNNNNNNNNNNNNNNNNNNNNNNNNNNNNNNNNNNNNNNNNNNNNNNNNNNNNNNNNNNNNNNNNNNNNNNNNNNNNNNNNNNNNNNNNNNNNNNNNNNNNNNNNNNNNNNNNNNNNNNNNNNNNNNNNNNNNNNNNNNNNNNNNNNNNNNNNNNNNNNNNNNNNNNNNNNNNNNNNNNNNNNNNNNNNNNNNNNNNNNNNNNNNNNNNNNNNNNNNNNNNNNNNNNNNNNNNNNNNNNNNNNNNNNNNNNNNNNNNNNNNNNNNNNNNNNNNNNNNNNNNNNNNNNNNNNNNNNNNNNNNNNNNNNNNNNNNNNNNNNNNNNNNNNNNNNNNNNNNNNNNNNNNNNNNNNNNNNNNNNNNNNNNNNNNNNNNNNNNNNNNNNNNNNNNNNNNNNNNNNNNNNNNNNNNNNNNNNNNNNNNNNNNNNNNNNNNNNNNNNNNNNNNNNNNNNNNNNNNNNNNNNNNNNNNNNNNNNNNNNNNNNNNNNNNNNNNNNNNNNNNNNNNNNNNNNNNNNNNNNNNNNNNNNNNNNNNNNNNNNNNNNNNNNNNNNNNNNNNNNNNNNNNNNNNNNNNNNNNNNNNNNNNNNNNNNNNNNNNNNNNNNNNNNNNNNNNNNNNNNNNNNNNNNNNNNNNNNNNNNNNNNNNNNNNNNNNNNNNNNNNNNNNNNNNNNNNNNNNNNNNNNNNNNNNNNNNNNNNNNNNNNNNNNNNNNNNNNNNNNNNNNNNNNNNNNNNNNNNNNNNNNNNNNNNNNNNNNNNNNNNNNNNNNNNNNNNNNNNNNNNNNNNNNNNNNNNNNNNNNNNNNNNNNNNNNNNNNUCAACCUCAGGCAGGGCAAUAUAAUGGUGAAAGACUAUUCUCUAAAGUUUACUCAAUUAGCCAGAUACUCUCCUCAUGUGGUUGCAGACAGUAGAUCUAAGAUGAGUAAGUUCAUUUUAGGGGUAAAUGACAACGUGGUUAAUGAGUGCAGAUCCGCCAUACUAAAUAGUGACAUGACCUUAGCAAGACUUAUGAUCCAUGCUCAGUAGAUAGAAGAGUAGAAAAUUAAGCAGAGAGAAAUAGAAUAAGAGAGCAAAGACAGGUAGUUUCAUCUUUUCUCAGCCUAAAUCAUAAGGAGGAAAUCGUUUCCAAUUUCUUCCUAAGUCAUCAGUUCCAGCUCCCUUUAUAGCCAGUGCUCCAGUUCCUAAGUUCAGAGAGGGUAACAAAGAUAGAGCGCCAGGCUCUAAAAACCAGGGCAAUGUUAAUAGUUCCCGCACCUAUCCUCUUUACCAGACUUGCGGUAAGUACCAUCGGGUGUGUGUAAAGUGGGUAGUGGCAUUUGUUUUGAUUGUGGCAAGCUAGGACCUAGAGUUAGAGACUGUCCUCAGCCAGGUCCUCAGGGUCAACAGAAUCGCUCUUCAGCUCAGUCCGUUCACCAAAUCAGCAGGGUACCACAUCUAGUGCUUCAAGCGGGUAACGCCUAAAUCGUCUCUAUGCUCUUCAGACUCGACAGUAUCAAGAAAAUUCUCCUGAUGUAGUUACUAGUACAUUACAGAUCUUUCAUGUACAUGUGUACGCUUUGCUAGAUCCAGGAGCUUCUUUGUCUUUUGUUGCUCCUUAUAUAGCAGUUGAUUUUGGAAUUAGUCUUGAAAUUCUAGCAGAUCCCUUUUUAGUCUCUACCCUAGUGGGUAAAACCAUCAUAUCCCAGCGGGUAUACAAGAACUGCCCGGUUAUGAUAUUUUAGAAAGUCACUUCAACAGAUUUAGUCGAAUUAAAGAUGACUUAUUUUAAUGUCAUUCUCGGUAUGGAUUGNNNNNNNNNNNNNNNNNNNNNNNNNNNNNNNNNNNNNNNNNNNNNNNNNNNNNNNNNNNNNNNNNNNNNNNNNNNNNNNNNNNNNNNNNNNNNNNNNNNNNNNNNNNNNNNNNNNNNNNNNNNNNNNNNNNNNNNNNNNNNNNNNNNNNNNNNNNNNNNNNNNNNNNNNNNNNNNNNNNNNNNNNNNNNNNNNNNNNNNNNNNNNNNNNNNNNNNNNNNNNNNNNNNNNNNNNNNNNNNNNNNNNNNNNNNNNNNNNNAAAGAAAGACUGUUCUCUUAGGAUGUGUAUAGACUACCGUCAACUCAAUAAAUUCAUGGUUAAGAACAAGUAUCCUCCUCCUAGAAUUGAUGACUUAUUUGACCAACUUCAGGGUGCCAGUUAUUUCUCAAAGAUAGACCUCAGAUCCAGCUAUCAUCAGCUUAGAGUCAGAGAAUGUGACAUUCCAAAAAUAGCUUUCCAUACUCGGUAUAGUCAGUUGAAAUUUCUAGUCAUGUCAUUUGGUCUUACCAAUGCCCCAGCCGUUUUCAUAGACUUGAUGAACCGUGUGUUUAAGUAGUACUUGGACAUGUUCAUCAUAGUCUUCAUAGAUGACAUUUUGGUCUAUUCCCGCAUUGAGUGCAAUCAUACGAACCAUCUUAGAAUAGUAUUUCAGACUCUCAAAAAUCAUCAGUUAUUCGCCAAAUUCAGUAAGUGCAAGUUUUGGAUAAGAUCAGUAGCAUUCCUUGGUCAUAUUAUUUCCGGUGAUGGCAUUAGAGUAGAUCCUCAAAAUACCGAAGCAGUAAGAAACUGGACUCACCUUGUCUCUCCAUCAGAUAUCAGGAGUUUCUUGGGUUUGCUGGCUCUUACAGACGGUUUACUGAGGGAUUUUCUUCUAUUGCAUCCCCUAUGUCCAGAUUGACUUAGAAGAAGGUCAAGUUCCAGUGGUCAGAUCCUUGCGAGAAGAGUUUUCAGGAGUUGAAGACUCGACUUACCUCAGCUCUAGUCUUAGCUCUCCCAGAUGGUUCAGAUGGGUUUGUAGUAUAUUAUGAUGUAUCCAGAGUGGGUUUAGGUUGUGUCCUCAUACAGCACGGUAAGGUCAUAGCCUAUGCCUCCAGAUAAUUAAAGCCCCAUGAGAAGAAUUAUCCUACUCACGAUCUUGAGUUAGCAGCUGCAGUAUUUGCCUUGAAUAUUUAGAGGCAUUAUCUAUACGGUGUUCAUGUAGAUGUUUUCACAGAUCAUAAGAGCCUUCAGUAUAUUUUUUCUCUGAAAGAUCUCAAUCUUCAUCAAAGAAGGUGGUUAGAGCUCUUAAAAGAUUAUGACAUGAGCGUCUUUUAUCAUUUAGACAAGGCUAAUGUAGUGGCCGACGCUCUCAGUAGACUGUCUAUGGGUAGUGUUUCUCAUGUUGAGGACAAUAAGAAGGAGCUAGCCCAGGAAUUCCAUCAUCUUGCAAGACUAGGCAUUCGCUUAGUCGAUGUAGAGGAGGGUGAUGUAUUCAGAGUAGUUCAGAAUUAUCUCUAGUUUCUGAGGUAAAAGAAAAUCAAGACAGAGAUCCCAGCCUAGUCAAGUUGAAAGAGUCAGUUCAAAAUUAAAAAAUUGAGGUUUUCUCCUAAGGAAGAGAUGGUGUUCUUCGUUUUCAGGGUCGUUUGUGUGUUCCAGGUGUAGAUGACUUGAAGCAGUAAAUUCUUGUAGAAGCGCAUGGUGCAUGCUACUCUAUUCAUCCAGGGGCCACAAAUAUGUUCCGUGACUUGCGGGAGAUCUAUUGGUGGAGUGGGAUGAAGAGAGAUAUUGCAGAAUUUAUGGCUAAGUACUCUACAUGUCAGCAGGUUAAGAUAGAGCAUCAGAAGCCUAGUGGUUCUAUGCAAGAGUUCAUUAUUCCUACUUGGAAGUGGGAAGAAGUGAACAUGGACUUAAUGAUGGGUUUGCCUCGAACUCGUCGUCAGCAUGAUUCAGUUUAGGUCAUUAUAGACAGAAUGACCAAAUUAGCCCAUUUUCUUCUAGUUCAUACCUCAUAUUCAAUCGAGGAUUAUGCCAAGCUCUACAUCAAGGAGCUGGUCAGAUUGUACGGUGUUUCAUUGACUAUUAUCUCAGAUAGAGGUACCCAGUUCACCUCUUAUUUCUGGAAAGCAUUCCAAAAGGGUCUUGGUACACAAGCUCACCUUAGUACAACCUUUCAUCCUCAGACAGAUGGUCAAGCAGAAAGGACUAUUUAGACUCUAGAAGAUAUACUAAGAGUGUGUGCAAUUGAUUUCAAGGGUAAUUGGGAUGACCACUUGCCUUUGAUUGAGUUUGCAUACAAUAAUAACUACCAUUCCAACAUUCAGAUGGCUCUAUUUGAAGCUCUCUAUGGUAGAAGAUGUAGAUCUCUAAUUGGUUGGUUCAAAGUUAGUGAGGCCUUAGUUAUAGGGCCUGACAUAGUAUUCGACGCCUUAGAGAAAGUUCAGUUGAUUAAAGAAAGACUUUGGGCUGCUCAGAGCAGACAAAAGUCUUAUGCAGAUGUUCAUAGUAAGGAUCUUGAGUUCGAGAUUGACGAUUAUGUCUAUCUCAAGAUCUCUCCCAUAAAGGGAGUGAAGAGAUUCGGAAAGAAGGGAAAGCUCAGUCCCCGAUAUGUCGGUCCCUUCCAGAUUCUCAGUCAUUUUGGAGAGGAGAGGUAGCUUAUGAGCUCGAAUUGCCUGCAGACCUAGCCUCAGUUCAUCCAGUCUUCUAUGUCUCCUUGCUCAAAAAGUGUAUAGGCUACCCAUCAGUUGUAGUCCCUAUUCAAAGCAUCGAUGUUCAGAACAGCCUCUCUUAUAAAGAGAUUCCAGUUGAAAUCCUAGACUAUCAGACUCGUAGAUUGAGGAACAAAUAGGUCCCUCUAGUUAAAGUCCUUUGGCGAAAUCAGUCCGUUGAGGGAGCCACUUGGGAAACAAAAGCAGAUAUGUGUACAAAGUAUCCUCACCUAUUUCCCGCUAACUUAGAUCAAGCUCAAGGUAAUAGUUCUCCUUAAGCUUACUCAGUUUCAUGUUCAGUAUUUAUCACAAACGUGGUAUUUAAUUUCAUGUUCACGUUCCAGUAUAAACUUAGUGUCAAACACCAUUGCAUAUUUAGUCAUGCAUUCAUGUAUCAACUCAGUUAUGAAAUCAUGCAUUCUCAUUGUGAGAAACUUAGUUUUUUAAGAACACUCAAUUAUGCAUUCAUGAAUCAAUCACACAUGCAUCAGAUAUGUAUGUUCAGUGUUAUAUGCUCAGUUUAUUAGUCAUGUCAGUCAUGAGAUCAUGGUCUAGUUAUUCAUGGUUCAAUUAUUCAUGAUCAGCUUGUUAUUUUCCCUCUCAGUCAGUCUCAUUCGAGGAAGUAUGAUCUCAAGGGGGAGAUAUUAUAAUACCCAUGCCUUUUCUAAGUUUGAAAUCUUCUGAAGGGUGUUUCCUUUGAAAUAUGAAUUUACUUUUAUACACGUGGUAUUUUUAUGAUUUUGACUUUCCAUUACGUGGGAAAUUGUUUAAGCUUUUCAUCGAUACCAAUUUCAUCAAAAUCCGGUGUCAAAUAAAAAAGUUAUGUCCGAAAAACAGAAUGCAGGAAAUUCGCCCAGGCAUGACGGUAUGGCUCGACGGGCCGUCGCAGGUCCGAUGGACAUUUGGAGGCCACUGUCGCAGCAAACCAGUAGACCCAAUUUCUAUUCAUGUCCGGUGGUUUGGCUCGACAGACCGUAGAAGGCCCGACGGAUUGUCAGAGGCCACCGUUAGAGACAUCCAGUAGCAUCACAUUCUGCCCAGGUCCGAUGGUAUAGCCCGACGGACCAUCGCAGGUCUGAUGGACCGUUGGAUGCCAUCUCACACCUUAUGUUCAGCUAAUUUUAUGUCAUUUUAAUGAGGGUAUUUUGGUCAUUUAUCACCCGUCUUUAUAUACCCAUUUAUUCAUAAUUUCAGCCACUUUGGUCAUUAUUAUUUCAUAGGUUUUAUCUUUAAAUUUAAUCUCCAAGAACAAGAUCUAAUCUUCUUCAAGAAUUAAGGGAGUUUCAAUUCUCCAAGUUCAAUAACAUUAUUCCAGGUAUGCAUAGUGUUCAUUCAUGGACCUCUUUCAUCCAUGAAGUCCAAGAAUUCUUUUUCUAAAACUCAAGUUAUGGAUUUUCUUUAUGUUCCCAUGAUUUGGUUGCUUAUGAUCAUGUUGAUAAAUGUGAAAUUGGAUCCUACUCCAUAAGUGUUGAUAAUUUCUAUGUGGGUUUAAUUACUAUAGUUAUAGAUUCAUGCAACCCAAAGAUUUAAACCCUUGAAUGAUGGAAUUAGAAUUGACUAGUGAUAUUUACAUGUAUCAUGCCUGCAAUAUGUUUGAUUAAAUACCUAUAUGAAGGAAUAUUGUUUAACUAUCAUGAAAUCCCCAUCUAUGUAUAAGUUUAUGCCUAUUACAUAUUUUAUGAACUGCUCCUAUGAAUGUAGUAUGUAUUAUAAUGUUAGUCAAGUUUUCAAGUAACUCAUGCCAUGUCAGUUUCCUUCUAUCGAGUCCUGGGGUAUUUGUACCCAAAAUAUUAGUUGUGUGCUAUAACGUCCUAAUUUUCUGUAAUCGAAACGUCACACGGUGCUUAUGAUCUCGAAGGACUAUAAGCUAACCCUCUUUUGAUAUUUGUACCUGUUCACUGCAUAAUAUAAUAAAAUACAUGCAGAAAAAAACUUGCCAUAAAGUUCAAAAUAUCUAAAAUACAUAAUUUUGCAAACUGAAUACUCAUACAACUAUCCGAAAAGCUACUAACUAUCUGAACUGUGGAGUUGAUGGUACAUGUCCCCAACUAAAUCUAUCUAGUAAAAUAAACUAAAUAUAAUAAUGCACUGAAAUAAUAACCACCCUCAGAAUAUGAGGACUACUGCUGGGUACUGAACUGCUACUGUUGAUUUGGAACUCGCGUCUCUGAAUCUAUGGUGUCAAACAAAAUAACAACACCAUAGAGCAAAUGCGUCAGUAUAUUAGAAUAUAUUGAGUAUGCAAAUAAGGUAAGGCUAAAUGCAAAGGCUUAUUUAUGGACAUUACUUAACUGAAUAAUAUGUAAUAGAUGGAUUAGCAUACAUAAAGAAUCUGUAACUACUGAUCAUACUGUGCAUACUGUCACUAAGCAUAAUAAGACUAACUCUGGUAACUGAUACUGAAUAUGCUAAAAUACUGGAAUUUCUGAACAUACUGAUAUUUCGAGUAUCUGAAGCUACCGAAACUGAUAGCAACCCUAUCUAACAUGUCUCCGGAUCUACUAAUAUUAAGAAUAAUUGACUGAAUCUGAGAUCAACCCUAUCUAGUAGGAGUCUCUGAAUCCAUGGAUAAUAAUAGUUAAUUAACUGAAUCUGAGAUCGGCCUAUCUAGCAGUGGAUCUUCGAAUUUACAAAUAAUUAUACUAGAUGUCCUGUAUCUAACAACCUUGAAUUCUAUACACUGAACUAAGCUUUUUCUUGAAAUCUGAGACUGAUUAUGAAACUGAAACUAUAGAAAGUAUUCAUCUAACCGACAUGCCCCAUCUAGCUAAGUCGGGGUCCAACCUGUACCCCAGUUGGAAAGGGGAUGUCAGUACCGCGCCACUAGUAAAGACAACUUUACAUAACCCUCAUCUAUCAAGUACUCAAACGAGAAUGGUGGGGCCCUUAUCUAAACAUUCAAGCCAUCUCAUCUACCCUCAACUAUCAGGUAUGAUGUCUCAACCUACGCUGGCGACAUAGUUCUGAAGCACAAGGAUUGCUGCUAAGAAUCAUACCCUCUACUAGUAGGUGAGUUCCCAUCCUUGAACUCACUCGGUGCUGAAUCCAAAUCCCAACUGAAAGACACUAACCUGUUUCUUAACUGAUCUUAAACUAAGCUGAAUCUGUUAGUGAUCACAUUACUUGGUUUAUCUGACUGAGUUAGCUUGAUUCCAUUUCUGACUGAAUACUACUGAAUUCUACAGAGUUUUCGUAUAUUACUGAACUUUACUGAAGCCUUGACUGAAUACUAAAUACUGCUGAGAUCUGAACUGAGUACUAAGCUUGAUUAGACUGAACACUGAGAUUACAGAGUUUUCUUACUGUUCUAUCACUGACUAAAUUUUACUAAUCAUAGCACGACUGAGAUUAUCAUGAGACUGACUCGGCUCUAGACACACAACUAUAUUUUUCGGGUACAAGUACCUCCAGGACUCGAUAGAAGAAAACUGACAAGACAUAUUACUUCUUGAAUACAUAUCCAACAUCAACAAUUUAUACUACAACCGUUGGGGAUACUUCGCGAAGUAUAUGAUUAUCAUAAUCUUAUUCAUGAAUGGAAAGGAAUAUAAACAUAUCAUAGCUUCACCCAUCUCAUCUCAUGAAGCAUUCAUAAUGCACAUAAUACAAUGAAAGUUAUUCUUAGUCAUAAGUGAGAACUUAAAUCAUGGAUUAGAAACCCAAUCAUAUAUAUAUAUAUAUAAGAGGAUUAAGAAUCUGCUGAUGUGGCACCCUCCAAUGAGCAGUAUUGGUAUUUAUCUAUUUUGUCCUUUUUUUGACUUCUUUACUUGAAUUUUCCUUUUAAAAAAUAUCAAAAGAAAAACAAAUCAGUUACCUACACAGAAUCCAACAGUCAGCUUAUUAAAUUUUAGUAACUGUUGGAAAAAGGAUGAGAAGAACCAGUCGAUUUUCAUGGAAAACGCCUCUAUUCCAAUAGUUAAUAGACGAAAUAGGGAAAAUGAGGAGAAGAACCAGUAGGUUUUUGGAUUGCAAUUCUGUAUUCCAACAGUUCUUUGUUUCAUCAAAUUUGUGCAAAUUUCUAUUGGCUAAUACUUGUGCACUCCUUUUUUCAGGUUUUACCAAUUUUUCUCAACCAUCAAAUCUCCAUUGCACAUUUGUUCUUUCUGAUUUCAACCGAUCUCUUAGAUUUAUAAACUUAUUUUGACAAAGCACUUAGGAUGCAUGAAUUUAUACAUACUUAGGAUUUCUUCUUCUCAUACUAAAACAACUCUAUUUCCUUCAUAUAACCAUUCUAUCAAACACUUGAAUGUCAUGAAUUAGUAUUCUUGUUUACAUAAUAUAAUUUCUCUUAUUUAAUUCAUAUGAAUAAUUUACCACAUACUUGAAAGGCAUAGUAAUUAUACAUAUUGUUAAUCAACAUAUAAAUAUAACUAUCUAAGGCUCUAACAUGAAUUCAUAUAGUACUACACUCAUAAUUAUUUAUCUCACCUAAAUCAUGUACUUAAAUCAUGGAUUAGAAACCCAAUCAAAGUGAUAAUUAUGAAUACACUUAAAUAAAGUCAUAUAUUAAAUACCAAUCAUGUGGUUCAAGAACUCGACAUGACAUCCAUACUUAACAUACUAAAAUUAUAAUAUUUUCUUCAUAUAAGCAUUUUAUCAAACAUGUUGGGAGCAUGCUUUAGUUAUUCAACAACUGCUACUUCUAAAUGUCAUAACUCCAUCAACUAAUUCAUCACACAAAUAUUUCAACAUGAUAUGGUCAUGAUUCAACAUACAUGGAAAAUAUGAUUAUUUCCAACAUCAAUUAUUAUAUAACAACAUCACACUAAUUAACAUAAUUACAUAAUUCAACAUGCUUCUUGAAAAGAUUUUAUCAUGAACAUAAUAAGAUCAACACAUACUAGGGUCUAAACUUGAGUCUUUAUCAUCAACACAUGACUUUAAUUUCAAAAACAUCAAGAGCUUUAGUUUCAAACCACAUGAAUCAUAAAAAAACAUAAUCUUCGAAUUUAGGAAAAAGGAUUCUUGAGCUUCUUGGGUGAAAGGAACCCAAGAAUCAACACUUGCAUACCUCAAGUUUAUGAAUCCGGAUGAACUCUUGACUCGGAAACUCUAUUCGUAAGAUUGAUAGGUGCUCCUUGUAGCUCUCGCAAUGGGAAUUCCGAAUCUUAAAUUAUUUUUGAGUUCCUACGGUUGUAUUUUGAGGGAUCUUAAUUUUUGUUUUAGGAUUGAGACAUGUUGUUCUUAAGUAUUUUUAGAAUAAGGGCCAUAUUUUGGAUGAAAAUAUGCCAAAUCUUGUGUUAAAGGGGUAUAUAUAGGGGUGGAAGAUGACCAAAAUUCCCCUAAGAAAACAAUUAAGGUCACAUCUGACCCUCGGUUGCCGGUUUGAUAUACUGAAGUAAAUUGGCUGUAACUUUUUACUUUGGUGUUCAAAUUGGAUGAAAAUAUAGAGUAAACUCCGUACGCAUGAAUGUCAAACCGCUGCGUUGAAAGCUCCAACAAUCGCCCGAGUCAAGCAAGUUGAGGCGUACUCAACUAAGACCUACACCAAAAGGGUGCAGUAGGCAUAAGUACGGUCCACUUGUACUUAGUAGGUAUCAUAGGCCGACCAAGCAAAGUAGUAAAGUGUUCUUGUUUUUAUAGAAAUUGGGUGGAUGCGAUUACUUUGAUUGGUAUGAAUAACGACACCCUUCGCAAGUAAAUCGUGUAAUCUGGGGUUUGUUGAACAAAGUCAAGGCUUCUGAAGAGAAGCAAAAUCAAGCAAAAAGAUACUACAUUAUUGUCGUUAUUGCUACUGUUUGGUGUUGUUGGAAACAUGGAUAUUCAAGCCUAAUUGCUGAAAUUUUUAUGGUGGUAUAUGUAUUUGCUACUGAUUUGGUGUUGUCGAGCACAUGGAUAUUCAAGCGUAAUUGUUGGAAAAUAUCAAAAAGAUUUAGGCAUAUGUUGUAAAAUUUAGGUCAUUUGUUGGAAAUUAUCAAACAGGUUUUCCCACUAUUGCAACAAAUUAGACUUAGAUUACAUAGAAAUAACAUCGGCAUAAUGCAACAAAUGACAAACCUAUUGCAAUAGAUAAACUAUCUGCCAGAAUAGAUUCAAUAUAUUUUACAACAAAUUGAUAAUCUAUUGCAUUAUAAAUAACUUAACUUUCAUCAGAAAAAAAUUAUUGUCACUACACGUAAAUGUAAUAAAGUGAAGGGUGAUUUGAAAUUAAAAAUUGCUAUUUCACAAACUCUUCUAUAUACACAGGCUCUAAGGGUCUAGUAAGUACCCCAUAAGCCCAAACCUCUUGCAGGUUUUUCACAGUGUUGUCACAUAGAAAAGUCGUUGGCCUGGCCAUUUCUGUGUUGGUCAGCAAACAUUCGAUGUGUGCAAGAUCAUGCGAGCCUCUCGCGUAACCGGUAUCAUUUUUUGGAAGGAUCAUUCCCUUAUUUCGACCUUCAAAAUCUCAUGAUUUCUUCAUCAACACUUUCUUUGGCAAAUGAUUCAUCAGUUUACUCUCUCACAACAAGAUGGGCAACAACUCCAUCAGUAGAUCCACAAGGACAAAAAGAUCGAAAUCAUUGAUGAGAGGUUUGUUGCAGUCAUAAACAUUGAUAUUUUCCUCCUCGAGUAGUAUCUCAAUAGAUCGAUAAUACAUGUCUUUCAUGCUAAUGAUUGUGAGAAUACUUUUUGCCUCGGUCUAGCUCUUGCCAUGUGGAUUUGGUUUCUCUCCUCUAAUAUAUUUUAUCAUUUAUUCUUUAAUUGCAUUGGAAAUAAGACUCAAAGAUUUUUUAUUUGAUAUAAGAAGAUCUCACAGUUCAUCAUAUACAGGGAGUUAUGAUCAUUUGAAGUUGACCCUAAAAUGCUGAAAACUAGGAAAAAAGGCUCCAACUAGGGCGGUGCCCUGCUUAGACCGGGGGUCUAAGCGAGGCUGCGUGGCCCUGUAGCCUUUUGCUACUGGUUUGAGAAAUCAAACAUGACCUUAGGAAACUCCUUUCUAAAAAUUUAUUAACACUUUACUACUUUCCAAAUUGAACUGUAAUCAAUCUACUCUAGAGUCUAGGAUAUAACGAUGCACAAUUAUAUGUAUGAAGGAUAAAAUCAUCUUGAAAACUGCACCUAAAAGUAUAAACUCACUGCUAAUGCUAUCUCUUGGAAUACAACUCUUAACUUCCUUUAACUUCUACAAUCAUCUUCAUCCUACCAUAUCUAUAUUUUUUCUUAUUUUUAUUUUCAUCUUCCUCAUUUACAACUUCUUUCUUAUCUCCCUCACCUUCCUUUCCUCAUCAUCUCUAGAUCUUUCAACUUAUUCUUCAUAACAUGAAUAUCGACAAGUCUUUUACAACCAUUCUACUCUCAUCCUAGCAUUCAAAUGUCAUAUCUCUUAAACUUAUAUUUUCUCCACACCAAGAGAAUUACCACUAUACCUCUAUCAACAACACAUAUAACUCUGGAUUACUAUACUUAGAUUCUUGCAUACCUUGUUUCAAGCCUAAUGAUUCACUUUUUAUACAACUAACCCCAUAAAACAUACUCUGCUCAAAUUUAGAGAACACCAUCGCGAAACUAUCUGCGGGGACUGUCUGAGAAAGUUCUAUCUGAAAGACUUUAGGCUUCAAUUAUUCUGUUACCUUGGAAGUAAGGUAAAGCUGACAUGAAUGGAUCAUGAUAAGAGUCUACAUAAGUCUCUUAGAGAACCUUUCUACAGCAUGAUCUGAGACAUGAAUGAAGGGAAACUUUUCUAAAACAUCUUAUAGCCUCUUGUACAUAAAUGUGGUGUGCAACACACCCAUGUACAAGACUCUACUAGAUGCGGCUUUUCAGAUUUCCUAGGACUCUAUUGAACCUUAGGCCAUGAUACCAAGUUUGUAACACCCCAAUUUUUUGUAAUCGGAAUGUCACACGGUGCUUAUGAUCCCGAAGGACCAUAAGCUAAUCCUCUUCUAAUAUUUAUACCUGUUCACUGCAUAAUAUAAUAAAAUAAUGCAAAAAACUAGCGGAAACUUGCCAUAAGGUUUAAAAUAUCUAAAAAAUACAUAAUUCUGUAAACUGAAUACUUAUACAAUUGUUCGAAAAGCCUCUAACUGUCUGAACUGUGGAGUUAAUGGAACCUGUCCCCAACUAACUCCAUCUAAUAAAAUAAUUUAAAUAUAAUAAUGUGCUAAAAUAAUAACCAUUCUCAGAAUAUGAGGAAUCACUACUGGGUACUGAACUGCUACUGCUGAUCUAGAACUCGCAUCUCUGAAUCUAUGGUGUCAAACAAAAUAACAACACCAUAACGCAAAUGCGUUAGUAUAUUGGAAUGUACUGAGUAUCCAAAUGAGGUAAGGCUAAAUGCAAAGGCUUAUGCAUGAACAUAACUUAACUGAAUAAUAUGCAAGAGCUGGAUUAGUAUACAUAAAGAAUCUGUAACUACUGAUUAUACUGCGUAUACUGUCACUAAGCAUAAUAAGACUAAUUCUGGCAACUGAUACUGAAUAUGCUAAAAUUCUGAAAUUUCUGAACAUACUGAGAUUUUGAGUAUCUAAAGCUACUAAAACUGAUAUCAACCCUAUUUAACAGGUUGUCUCUGGAUCUACUAAUAUUAAGAAUGAUUGACUAAAUCUGAGAUCAACCCUAUCUAGAAGGUAGUCUUUGAAUCCAUGGAUAAUAAUACUUAAUUAACUGAAUCUGAGAUCGGCCUAUCUAGCAGCGGAUCUUUGAAUUUACAAAUAAUCAUACUACAUGUCCUGUAUCUAACAACCUUGAAUUCAUACACUGAACUAAGCUCUUUCUUGAAAUCUGAAAUCGAUUAUGAACCUAAAACUAUGGAAAGUAUUUAUCUAACCGACAUGCCCCAUCUAGCUAAGUCGGGGUCCAACCUGUACCCCAGUUGGUAGGGUGUCAGUACCGUACCACUAGUAAAGACAAUUUUACAUAACCCUCAUCUAUUAGGUACUCAAACGAGAAUGGUGGGGCCCUUAUCUAAAUGGUCAAGCCACCUCAUCUGCCCUUAACUAUCAGGUAUGAUGUCUCAACCUACGUUGACAACAUAGUUCUGGAGCACAAGAAUUGUUGCUAAGAAUCACACCCUCUACUAGUAGGUGAGUUCCCAUCCUUGAGCUCACUCGAUACUGAAUCCAACUCCCAACCAAAAGACACUGACCUAUUUCUUAACUGAUCUUAGACUGAGCUGAAUCUGUUAUUGAUCACAUUACUUUGUUUAUCUGACUGAGUUAGCUUGAUUCCAUUUCUGAUGAAAUACUAAUGAAUUCUACGGAGUUUUCAUAUAUCACUAAACUUUACUAAAGCCUUGACUGAAUACUAAAUACUGCUGAGAGCUGAACUGAGUACUAAGCUUGAUUUGACUGAACACUGAGAUUACUGAGUUUUCUUAUUGUUCUAUCACUGACUAAAUUUUACUAAUCAUAGCACGACUGAGAUUAUCUUGAGACUGACUCGGCUCUAGGCACACAACUAUAUUUUUCGGGUACAAGUACCCCCAGGACUUGAUAGAAGGAAACUGACAAGACAUAUUACUUCUUGAAUACAUAACCAACAUCAACAAUUUAUACUACUACUGUUGGUGAUAUUUCACAAACCAUAUGAUUAUCAUAAUCUUAUUCAUGAAUGGAAAGGAAUAUAAACAUAUCAUAGCUUCACCCAUCUCAUCUCAUGAAGCAUUCAUAAUGCACAUAAUACAAUGAAAGUUAUUCUUAGUCAUAAGUGAGAACUUAAAUUUACCACUUGGGUCACAAUUAGGCUAUAAUGCAUAAUAUUUAUUCUCUUAGGCAUUUUACCAAACACGUGGGAGGCAUGAAUUUAUACAUACUGAGGAUUUCUUCUUCUCAUACUAAAACGACUCUGUUUCCUUCAUACAACCAUUCUAUCAAACACUUGAAUGUUAUGAAUUAGUAUUCUUUUUUACAUAAUAUAAUUUCUCUUAUUUAAUUCAUAUGAAUAAUUUACCACUUACUUGAAAGGCAUAGUAAUUGCACAUAUUGUUAAUCAACACAUAAAUAUCACCAUCUAAGGAUCUAACAUGAAUCCAUGUAGUGCUACACUCAUAAUUAUUUAUCUCACCUAAAUCAUGUACUUAAAUCAUGGAUUAGAAACCCAAUCAUAUAUAUAUAUAUAAAAGAGGAUUAAGAAUCUGCUGAUGUGGCACCCUCCAAUGAGCAGUAUUGGUAUUUAUCUAUUUUGUCCCUUUUUUGACUUCUUUACUUGAAUUUUACUUUUAAAAAAUAUCAAAAGAAAAACAAAUCAGUUACCUACACAGAAUCCAACAGUCAGCUUAUUAAAUUUUAGUAACUGUUGAAAAAAGGAUGAGAAGAACUAGUCGAUUUUCAUGGAAAACGCCUCUAUUCCAAUAGUUAAUAGACGAAAUAGGGAAAAUGAGGAGAAGAACCAGUAGGUUUUUGGAUUGCAAUUCUGUAUUCCAACAGUUCUUUGUUUCAUCAAAUUUGUGCAAAUUUCUAUUGGCUAAUUUUUGUGCACUCCCUUUUUCAUGUUUUACCAAUUUUUCUCUACCAUCAAAUCUCCAUUGCAAUUUGUGCUUUCUGAUUUCAACCGAUCUCUUAGAUUUAUAAACUUAUUUUGACAAAAUACUUUAUCGAAUUGAAUUUUUCAGCUUUAUAAAAUUAUUUUGGUGAAUCUAAGAGUAAUUUUCUAUUUCUGUGCAUACCUAUAUGCACUUUUUUCAAGGAUUUGUAGGACCUUUAGUGAAGCAAAAAAAGGGGAUUGAAGAGGUUUGUACUCGUAUUAAAGGAGGAUGGUGUCAUUGUGUUGUAUUCUAUAUUGUUUGAUGAAUGUUGUUUCAUUUUUAGUUUUUGUAAGCAAGUCUACUGGUGUAUAGGAUGGUUUAGGGUUCCUCCCACGUGUUGUGGUGCCACUUAUGCACUUCUUAGCUUUUUCAGGUUUCGACAAGCUUUAGCGAAUGUACCUCCGAUAAACUCAAAAUAGAAGUAUUUUUAAUUUUUUUUCAUUGUUAUUAUUCGCUUACAUGUUUCAUGCGUGCAUUGGAUGUGAAUUAAUUUUUUGUAUUUCUUUUAAAGUAUCAUGGAUGUUUUUUUAAUAAUUAGCCUGUGACUCUGUUAUGUUGAAUUAUGUGAACUUUUCGUACCCUGUCUUAGUAUUUUGUGUCAAGGCUCUUCAUUGCUUCAAUUGCAUCAGUUUUUGUCAUCCUUCCAACUUACAGAAGUGUAUUCUUAAAGAGUUCAAAUUAUUUUCUCUAUGGUGGUUGAUCUGUGAUUUCGUCCAUGUAUAUGAUACCUCCUUUCUUUACUUUUACUUGUCCAGAAUGAACUUUUCACACCAUUUAAGAAAUAACAAAUGAAGUGCAUAUUCUAUCAUUAUAUCUAUAUUAAUUGGUGUGUAUUUUUGUGGACUUGAAAAUGAUUUAGAAUGAGUAAUUAAUGCUAAAGGUAAAACAAGAAAAAGAAAUUAUUUUUCUCUUGAAAUGCGACAGAACAUAUUUUUAAUAUAGUGAACAAGUAAAAGUGAAUGGAUGUAGGGCUUUUGUGAAUUUUGUGUUUCAUCUUGAACAUUUGUGAUUCUUUAUAUGUCAUCAUGUCUCCUUUUGCCUUAUGUUCGUAGUUUGAUUCAGUUGGAGCUUUUUAACUUAUCCAGUUUGGUCAGUUGCUUUUAAAGCUUUGAAUUAGGACACAUAUAAAUAAAUAUAUUGUUAUUUUCAGUAGUUUAAGCAACAUAGAUUCUCUCUCUGCUUCUUGAUUUUUGAAUAUUUCUCCACGUAUAUAUCUAUAGUUAUAUCCCUCUGUGUAUGUACCCACUCUCAUUUUUUCACUUUUUCUUUGGUAAUACAAAAAGGAUGGGAUCAUUACAUCUGAAAAGUAGGAGCUAGCCUUUAGAAUCUUAAGAAAAUGAAAAAAAUGAUAUUAAGCAAAGUAGGAGCUCAAAGCUGAUAUCAUUAUACCUCUGUCAUAGACAUGCUAGGUCAUGCUGGGCAGCUUGAAGCUACUUAUAAGUUUUUAUUAACUCAGGACUGUCAGUUAAAAUAACUAAUGUUAUUAGUUAUAUUCAGAUACAGUUAUUCAUGUUAUCAGUUAUGUCAGUUUAAAAGUAUUCAGAUUCAGUAAUCAUGUCAUUACGAUAUCACUAUCAGUCAUUAUGUCUCAUGCAUGUAUUCUCACGUUUAUGAUAGUUAGGUAGCUAUGUAUUAUUAUUGUUCAUGCACAUGAACCCCAUGCAUAUAGCCUACCUUACAUGUAUACUCAAUACAUUCCUUUGUACUGACACAUUUGCGCUGUGGUGCUUUCUCUUAUGUUACAUCAUAGGUUUAGAGACAUGAGUUCCAGAUCAACAGUAGAUUCCAGUUUCAGCAGUCAAAUUUAAACCUCAUCCUUCGAGGACAUGAUUAUUUCUUUACUAUCUCUUCGAUUAGUUUAUUAGUUGGAGUUAGUUGGGGACAUGUUCCAUUAACUUUUUAUUCAGAUUAUUCAGUCAAUAGAGGCUUUCAGGCUAGAUGCAGACUAGAUAUAGACUAUCAUGUUUCAGAAUUCCAUAUUCUCAGUUUUAUUUUAGGUAUUUUACUACCCCACACAGAUGUUACGUCAUUUAGUUAUAUUCAUGAUUGAACCUUAUGGCCUUUCAGUGCAUGUUUCUACAUUUUUAUGUUAUAUUAUACAGUGUACAGGUACAGAUAUCAAUCAUGGGUUAGCUUGUGUUCCUUCGGGGUCAUGAGUACUGUGUAGCAUUCCAGUUCAGCAAAUGGGGGCGUUAUACUUACAAAUUCCAAAAAAGGUGGGGCCAACUCAGGUUCACCAACCAUGUGACACACAAAGCUUCCAAAACUUGCCUAUUACCCAAUCUGUUUGAAAUGUCAAUUGUAUCCUUGUCUGACCUAAUUUCUUUUAAAUUAGAACACUUAGGCAGUUAACAUAUAGUAAGCAUUGUUUAGGAUCAUACCCUAAAUACCUUACAUAAUUCCUAAAUUCAAAAAAAGAUAGCCUAGCUACAUCAACGUCUAAAAAUUUAGUAACUUCUCCACCCUCAUAUCUUUUUCCUUUUUUUCCCUUUGCCUUACCCUUAUUAAGUUCUCCACCAUGGUAAAAUCUCAAAGUGAUCAGUUCAAAACUCAUUUUAUAAACCUUAAAUCAUUGACCAUAAAAACACAAUAAGGAUACAAGUCUCACAGUACACAAAAAGCAAAAAGAUACAAGUCUCACAGUACACAAAAACCAAAAAAUUAUAGUAUUUAUGCAACAAUUACAAGUAUCACAGGUUAUUUAUCACAUAUUGAACCUCACAGAUCAUAUUGUUACAGAUUGAAGCACGUUAAAAAACUAUAAUAGAUCAAUUUUGAAGAUAAAUUAAAGAUAGCAAAAACCCCUAAUUCAAAACUCUAAUUCAAAACCCUAGUCAAAACCCUAGUAAAAAAUGAACAAUUAUAAAUGUCAAGGGUUAUAUUAUCACAUAUUGAGCAUCUAAAUGUAAAUAAAACAAAUUAAUUUGGACAAAUUAAAGACGGAAAAGCCCUAACUCAAAACACUCUAGAUUUAAUUUAGGAACGAAAAUAAAUCCUAGGUCUACUAUAUUUAGGAAAUAAAAAAGCUAACCUUUGAAUAGAAAAUCUGUAGUUCCUACAUAGACAAUCGUAAGCUUGCACCAAACCACCCCUAAUAGUCUAUUUACUAUCUUUAAGAGAGUGAUAGAAUGGAAAGACAAUAGAUAGCAAAUGCUUACCUAGUAGGUUUAAGAACUCACAUGCACCAAUACAUAUAAAAAAGAAGAAGCUAAAAGCUGCAACAUACGCUAAAUGCAACAAGUCUAACAAGGAAAAUGAAACUAAAGAGUCAGAAAAACAUAACACAAGUCAACACAAAAAAAAGUCAGAUGAACAUGUCAACUAACAAAAAAUAAGAUACCUCAGAGCAACAUUACAGCCAGAGAGAGUUAUGGCUACAUAAAACAAGUCAAAUGAACACACCAACUACCAAAAAAGUAAGGUACCCCAGAGCAGCAUUACAGCCAAAGAGAGCUAUGGCUAGAUAAAACAAGUUACAUGAACACAUCAACUACCAAAAAAAAUAUGGUACCCUAGAGCACAGCCAGAGAAAGCUAUGGCUAUUCCUGAGCCAUAGCUCUACGUAUUGCUAAAGUAACAUUAUAAAUCCUUGGAAAGCCAGCAACCUUGGUUUCAACUUUAGAAAUCUGCUUUUCAAUGCUAAGAUCUUUAGAUCUUUUAUUCAAAACAAUAUAUCCUGAUUUUCAUACUUCUUUUCAAGGCUCAACUUUUUUAACUUUUCGUGUUAUUUUGACAACAAAAAUAAUUUUGUUGAUGAGUUAAAUGAUAGAAUUAUAGCUCAACUUCCUAAAGAUGUUAAGACAUUUGUCACAAUUGAUGAAACUGUUGAACGGUGUGAUCAAAGUGAGUUUAAGGAUUUCUUACAUUCAUUGAACCCUCUUGGUUUACCUCCUUAUAAAUUAACAUUGAAAUAGAAUUAUCCUAUUAUGUUAUUGAGAAAUUUAAAUCCUUGUGAAGGUCUAUGCAAUGGUACACAUCUAAUAUGUUGUGAUUUUAAGAGUCGUGUUAUAAGUGCUAAAGUUGCCAGUGGUGAUUUUAAAAAUAUAUGUAUAUUUAUACCAAGAAUACCACUAUUAUAUUCAGAUGAUGAAAACUUACCUAUCCCUUUUAAAAGAAAACAAUUUUUAAUACGAUUGUGUUUUGCUAUGACAAUAAAUAAAGCUCAAGGACAAACAUUAAAUUAUGUUGAAAUUUUUCAUGGCCAAUUGUAUGUUGCUCUAUCAAGGGAUAAAAGUUCAAACAACAUAAAAAUAUUAAUUCGAUCACCUACUACUAAUAAUGAUGAUAAUCAAUUUACAUACAAUGUUGUGUAUAAUGAAAUCAUUUCUAAGGAUUUUGUUUAACUUUAUAUCCUAUUUGACUAAAUAAAUGUGGGAGGUAAUCAUCUAACUGACAUGCCCUUUUCUGAAAAAAAAUUAUGAUCCAACCUGUAACCCCAACUGAAAGAGUAGUACCGUGUCACGAGUAAAGACGAGAUGAAGAGUCACCUUCAUCUGGCAGGCGCCCUGGAUGAGAAUGGUGGUACCCUUAACUGGCAGGUUAAAACACCUCAUCAACCCUCAACUGGCAGGUUGAUAUCUCAACCUACGUUGGUGAUGUAGUUCUGGAAUGCAAGAACUGCUUCUAAGGAUCACAUCCUCUACUGGCAGGUGAGCCCCUAUCCUUGGGUUCACUCGGUGUUGAAUCUUAUUCCCAACUAAAUGACACUGAUUAUUAUACUGAGAUAAACUAGACUGAUACUGAGUUUCACUAAGUUCUGUAACUGACUGAGUUUAUUGAGUUCUAUUAACUGACUAAGUUCACUGAGUUCUGUUAACUGACUGAGUACUAUUAUUUUGCGAUGAUUGAGACUAUUUCGUAACUACUGUAGCUCUAGGUAAAUAGCUAGAUUGUCGGGUAUCGAAUACCCCCAGGACUCGAUAGCAUUGAAAGUAAAGCAUGGCAUAAUCUUGAAAGCAUAAUGAUAUUACUUGCUUAUUGACAAUGCGUUCAUCUAGACAUUCUGUCAAACACUUGAUAUACAUGAGUUUGCACGUGAUGGGGACCACAUAAUGACAUGUCAUGAUUCUACUAUUUACUUCACAUAGGCAUUUUAGCAAGCAGUUGGGGAGCAUGGAUUAUUUCACAUAAUAAUAGUCAACAUAUGAACAUCAUGGAUACAAUAGUCAAUUGUAGUUUCAAUGGUUUAACAUGUAUAUCAUAUAAUUCAUCACCUAUGCUAUUUUAAUUUCAUGAGACUUAGAAUUAAAUCAGGAAUUGAAACCCAAUUAAUAUCAUGAACAUAAAUCAACUUCAAGCAUGGAAAUCAUAAAUCUAUAAACUUGUAUGUUUAAAUAGGGUUCUUGGACUCCAUGGUGAAAGAACCCAUGAAUGAAUACCUAACAUACCUGAAAAGAUUAAUUCUUGAAGGUUCUUGGAGGAAUUCUUGAGAAUUGUUCUUGAUUUUUGAAGCUAGAGUUUUGCCCUUUUUGAGAGAAAAUGUUUUAAAUCUUGAGAGAAGUAAGUAAAUAAUGAUAUGAUAGGUUAUUUAGGGGUUUAAUCUCGUGUUUAGACUGAUUAGGGCCUUGAAAAAAAAUACCAAAUUACCCCUAGGAAUAAUUAAAAAUUUCAUCACUGGGUGUCCGAUUUUGGGCCACACCGCAACACGGUGGCAUCGCGGUAAGCCACUGAAAUAUGGCUAGCACUGUACAAAAGGGAUGACUGGGAAAUUGGAUCAUGGAGUGACGUGGCACCAUCACGGAGCCUCACUAGAAUUUAACAAUUCUAAAAUUGGGCCUCGUCACUACGCAGUGCUAUUACGGAGCUUCACUAAAAAAUGCCAAUUGGGAACUGGCACUGCUCUGCGAUGUAGGCUUAUCACGUUGGCUUACUGAAAACUGACCAUUUCCAUUUGGAUGGUCUCCACGACGCGGUGAUGUGCUAUUUGGAACACUGUUUUACAAAAUAUGCUAUAACUUUUCAUCCAGUUAUCGAAUUUGGGCGAAUUUUAUUUCAUUAGAAAGCUUAUUGAAUUUCCUUCGUAGUGGUAAGCUCUAAAUUGAUAAAUUCUGAGUAUUUUAAAAUUUUAAUAUAAGAUUACUUAUGUACUGAGAUUUAAAUUAACCUAAGGAAAUACGGGGUAUUACAAUCUCCCCCUUGGGAACAUUCAUCCUCGAAUGAACUGAUUAAGCUAAGAAAACACUAAUAGACUAAGUUUACACACUGAACAUACAUAUCUGAUGCAUGGAAUACAUGAUUGAAGCUACUAAUAAACUGAGCUCUCGUACUGAACAUACAUAUCUGAUGCAUGGGUACAUGGUUGAACUAAUUCAUGAAUGCAUAACUGUCAUGAAGAUAAUAUGCAACGGUAAUUAAUACCAAGUUUGUAACUGUAUCUGAACAUGGAACUGAGCAAAUCUAAGGAAGACUGUUACCUUAAGUUGAAUCUGAGUUUGCGGAGAAGAGGUGAGGAGACUUAGUCCGUAUAUCUAUUUUUGCUUCCCAAGUAGCUCCCUCAACGGACUGAUUCCGCCAAAGAACUUUAACCAAGGUAACUUCUUUGUUCCUUAGUCUACAAAUCCGAUGAUCGAGGAUUUAGAAUGGAACCUCUUUGAAAAAGAGAUCAUUACAAAUAUUUACAUCCUUUAAGGCGACUACGACUACUGGGUCACCAAUGCAUUUCUUUAGCAAGGAGACGUGGAAUACUGGGUAUACUAAAGCUAGAUCUGAAGACAACUCAAGUUCAUAAGCUACCUUUUUAAAAUAGCUGAGAAUUCUUUAAGGACCGAUGUAUCGAGGACUGAGUUUCCCUUCUUGCCAAACCUCUUUAUCCCCUUCAUGGGAGAGAUUUUUAAGAACACAAAAUCACCGAUAUUAAACUCUAGGUCCUUUCUUCUCACAUCUGCAUAUAAUUUCUGUCCGCUUUGGGCUACCCUAAGCCUUUCUUUGAUCAACUGAACUUUCUCUAAGCCAUCAAACACUAAGUCAGGCCCUACUACUACAGCCUUACCUACCUCGAACCAACCAAUUGGAGAUCUACAUCUCCUACCAUAGAUAGCCUCAAAUGGAGCCAUCUGCAUACUGGAAUAAUAACUAUUAUUAUAUGCAAAUUCGAUAAAGGCAAGUGGUUAUCCCAACUCCCUUUAAUCAUCAACGCAGGCUCUUAACAUAUAUUCUAGAGUCUGAAUAGUCCUUUCUUCUUGACCAUCUGUCUGAGGAUGGAAGGCUGUACUGAGGUGAAAUUGGGUACCAAAACCCUUUUAUAAUGGUUUCUAGAAGUAAGAGAUAAAUAGGGUACCGCUAUCUGAAAUGAUGGAUACUGGAAAUCUGUGCAACCUAACCAACUCUCUGAUAUAGAGUUUAGUGUAGUCCUUGGCUAAAUAAUGGCAAGAAAUGAGCAGAUUUGGACAUCCUGUAUACGAUAACCCAAACUGAAUUAUGCUGAUGAUGAGUACGAGGCAAACCCAUCACAAAGUUCAUGUUCACUUCUUCCCAUUUCCAUGCGGGAAUACUAAAAUCCUGCAUGGACCCACUAAGAUUUUGGUGCUCAAUCUUAACUUGCUAACAUGCAGAGCACUUAGCUACAAACUUUGCAAUAUCUCUCUUCAUCCCACUCAACCAAUAGAUCUCCCACAAAUUGCAGUACAUCUUAGUGGCCCCUAGAUAAAUAGAGUAACGCGCACCAUGCGCUUCUGCAAGAAUUCAUUACCUCAAGUCAUCUACGCCUAGAAAACAUAGCCGACCCUGGGAACGCAACACAUCAUCUUCCCCUUGGGAGAAAAUCUCUACUUUUUGAUCUCUGAUUGACUCUUUCAGCUUGAUCAUAAAGAAUUAUGCCAUAUGGAAUUUUUUUAGUCCUUUUGAGUCUUCUUUUCAAUAUUUUCCUUUAAACUUACUGUAAAGUCUGUUGAGUAAAUAAAUUUUAUAGCAUUUACAUUUGAAAAAAUUUUAGAAUCUACAAAAAAUCUCUCUAUAAAUAUGUAAAAUAUAAAAGGUUGUCUAUUAUUCAUGCAUUUUUUUGAGGAUCCGAUAUGGGUGCGAUAAGAUUUGUGGAGAGGUCGAGCAAUAUAGUUCACAGUUUCAUGUGUGGGAGUGGAAAGUUGCUUUGUAUGCUUAUCAGAAUAUAGUAUUAGCUUUAUAUAGUGGCGGCUGCUCAUCAUACUUUUAAAGUAGCUUUGUGACGUACUGGGCAUUAUCACCAUUCUGUUCUCCAUCUUUUGAAUGUCAAAGUAAAUAGUAGUGGGGGCAAGCAAUGGGAUCGAUUGGCGCACUUGUGUAAUAAUGUUAAAUCCUUUUAUUUAAUAGUAACAUUUUGAUCAGUUUGCAUUUUCUCUACUGCACUUUUGAUGUCACUGCCUUUGAUUUUUAUUAACAUGUGAUGUAGCACAUUAUUACUACUGCUCGACUUAGUUUUGUUUUGUAAUUGCUAUGUUUACAUCUGAAUUGAUAUUGAUGAAAUACAGAAUUUCUCAUUGCCUAAGUGCAGUGGAAAGAAAUGAUACAUGCUAAUUGCAAGAUCACUUGCAUUUUUUGGGCCGACACACCAAAUUCAAAGUCGACCCUAGUAGAAUCGAAUGCAAAGAUUUAGCCGAAUCAAAGGCUCUUAGCUCAACUUCACUCUAAGUGCUUCCUAUGAACAUUUUUCACCUCAAGAGCACUUUACACACUAGGAUAAUGAUCACGAAGCUUAUAUCCACAUGGGAAUUAUUUGGAUUAGAACUUACAUGUGUAGGAACGAUAGUUAGAAUUUUAAUACGAAAAUAUAGGGUGUUAUAUUAUCUCCUCCUUGGAAUCAUUCAUCCUCAAAUAAUGGAUAGGAACCUUUUAAAGUCUUAGAAGUAUGGAAUAAUAUAGACAUGAUAUGUCUGCUAAGAAAGGAUAUAACUAAGCUGAAUCAUUACAAGUUUCAUCAGGAAAGUAAUUUCUGAGCUGACUUACCUUUACUUACUAUAAGGAGCUGAUUCAUGCUGAGAGUUUAGAAUUCGCUUGAAGUGUUCAUGAUACAAUAACACAUAUAGAACUGAAAAGUGAUAGCUUAUGCAAGAACGAAUCAUGAGACAACGAGACUAAGAUCAUACAAUGGGUAUUACACUGUCUGAGCAGGAAUACUUGGAAACUAAGAUCAUUCACUGAACACUUAGGAACUAAAUCGUGACUAAAUAUCUGAAUUUGAAACAUAUGCCUGAUGCGUGGACUGAGCUGAAUUCAUAAUUUGCAAAAAUGCAUAUAUUUUACCUCAUGAAAUGGCCUUACACACUAAACUUUGGGUAAUACGACUAGAUGGAAAGUUGAAAAUCUAUAGGAGCUUAUUUGUUUGAUUGCUAAACUGGAGUACAGUCUAUAUGGACUGGAUCAUACUGAAUGUUCAUACCCAAGUGGAUUAUUUCUUAAACAUUAUUCAAAGAAGUUCUAAUGAUAUUAGGGAGCAAAGAACUUUAGGCAUGAUCUGAACAAGACAUCUGAAUAAGAAUGUCACUUAUUCUUAAGGGCUAACACAUAAGGACCUAAAGCACAAAAAAAUACUAUACAUAACUCUGACACUUAACUGAGGCCUGAAGAAUAGAAUGUCAAAGGUAUGGAUUUAUUAAAAAGAUCUAAACUGAGGACAUACAUGAUAUAUAUUGAAUUUCACUAGGAUCAUGAGUUUCUAAGAAUUGAUCAUACUUUAAAACAUGAGUUCCUACUUAUCAUAAGCUAUUCAACAUAAGACUGUAGUUCAUAGAUUCAUGAGGGAUAACUCUAAUCACAGAGUGUAGCUAUUACUUGUUUGCUAAAAGUUAAGAAUAGACUUGAGUAUGCAUGAAGUGUAUAAGCAUUAUCCUUUGGCAUGGAUCGAUCACGCAAAACAUAGAUUUGGUGUGAUAAUGACUGAAAUCCAAGGAAUACUCAAGAGUAAGAAGGAAUCACUAUCUCAUCAUAACUCUUAUUGACAUGUAUCACAAUUUAAUUCUUAAAACUUGAUUUGGUUCUGCAUUUUACCAUCUCCCCCUUAGGUCAAAGCUGAUAUUCUAACCUUAUAGGUAUAAUCCAUAUCCUCAAGAAUGAGCCAUAAUUUCUUCAUUCUAAUGUCUACAGAUAAAUGCUAAAUUCACAAGAAUAAACUAUAUUUCAAACUUACCGACUUCAUUCUUAAACAAUCCUUUCAUUUACUAUCCUUAACUUUCUAGCUUCAAUAAUCAUCAUCAAAAACUUACACUCUCAUUUGCAAACAUAUCUACCUCACUAAAUACAUAAUCGUAGUCUACCAAGAUCAUACUCCUAUACUUAUAUUUUUUCCAAAUCGUAAAAAUCAAAAUCAUACUUAAAAGACUCAGCACCAUCUAUUCAAAACUCCUCAACUUAGCUAUUAAGAACACCAUGUACUAUAUAACUAGCCUUCUUCCACUUAGCAACUCAAGGGUACUACUAACCACACACAACACUUAAUAGCCUUAUAAAAUAAUGUAACCCUAUAUCACCUUGGGCACCAAAGGCUCGGACGAGCAGGUAAUAUCAUACUUAUAAUAUUAUACUAAAUUAUGAAUAAAUCAACUUAAAUUCUUGCAUACAUUAUUCAAGCCUACUGUCAUGCCCUUUUUUUUUUACCUGAGGUUAAACAAGCAUGACUUAUGGACUCUAAAAGAAUUGAAUUUUUGUAUAGAGUCGCCACCUAAUUUUUAAGAAAAAUAAGGAAACAUAUUUAUUUAUUAACAUGUAUGAUUGAUGUUUCAGUCUGCAAAAAUCAGUUGAGAUUCUAGGUAAGAGUUCAAAUUAUUCCGAAGGAAGGGAUUAGGUACCCUUUGGGAUCCACAACUGUGGUACCCAGCUAGAUUAAAUUUAUCAAAAAAAGAAGAGGUAUAUUCAAAAUAAUAUAAAAAGUGUGUAUUAAGUAUAAAAUAAUUAUUUUUAAAAAUAUAAAUAUUUAAAACUAUGUAAAGGUAUAUAUAAAUAUGUAUAAAAAUGUAUAAAUACAUGUGAAAAGGAAAGUAUUUUAUGAUGUGUGAAAAGAAAUGUAUUUACAAGUAAUAUUUUUUAUUUGAUUAAAAUUACAAAGAAAAGUAAAAUUUAUUUGAGAAGAAAAGACUGCAUAAUAUGUGAAUUACUUGAUUAACUUUACUAUUUUAUGUAAGUUUAUUAAAAUAAUAUAUAUGUUUUGUUGUAAAAAAAAUAUAAACAAAAGUAUAUUAGUAUAUGUACGUAAAGAAAAGAUAAAAUAACACACAAUUUAAAGUCUUCUUCGAGUAUCAUUCCCGACAAGUAUUCCCAAUAACUAGAGUAGAUAGAGGAGGAUCAGUCUCAGACGACAGCAAGCUCACCUUGCUCUAAAUCAGUAAUGAAAGGUAGGAAUCUCGUCAACAUCGACUGCUAGUACUCGAAUCUGGAUGCCAAAGCUAUAGUAUCUUUUCAUGAAGCUUUCGGAUAGUGUUUUGCUUGAAUCCGAGCUUAAAUAACAUCCAUAAAAAAAUUGUUGUCCACAACGAACCAUACUAGAUUUGUGAGGAUAAUGAAGAACUCUAAAAGAAACAAACAGAGAAGGCCAACAAAUAUAGAGAAUAGAGACAUAUGCUUUUUUUUUUUGGAUAAAAGGAAUUAAGAUAAAAAAAACAACGUAUUUGUUACAAGAUAGCCAGUCAGUCCGGUUCAAAAAUAACAAGUUCCGCACUAAAUUUCAUGCUACUGCCUUUUACAUAUCUAUUAAAACAAGUUCCUAAAAUGUCUUCCAUACAUGUUCUAAUGCAAACACAGGAGGAACUUCCAAAAUGUGUUUGGAUCCAAAAAUUCUCCAACGUGCUCCUUCCUUUGCUAGUGAGCCUGCUACUUGGUUUUGCUCUCUAAAAUAGUGUUGUACUGUUGGUCGUCCCACUCUUGUCAGCAUGGAUCUGGAAAGAUCAAUAAUAGGGUCAUAAUGCAUGUUUCCAUGUUUUAGCAUAUGUAUAACCUGCUGGGAAUUAAUAUUGAUCUCAAUGGGGUGGAGGUUGUUAUCCUCCAUAAUUUUUAGGCCUUCCAGCAAAAAAGAAGGGAGUUCCAUUUGGUUAUUAGUAUCCUUAGGAUAGCCCUUGUAGUAACCCAGGAUCCAUUCACCAUUGGUAUUUCUUAUUACAACACCUAUACCCUCAACCCUUGGAUUCCCCAAAAUGAAACCGUCAGUGUUCAGUUUAUAGAAAUUUCGAGGAUAAGGGGGGACCAUUUAACAGAAAUGAUGAGAAGAUAUUGGUAUUGAGUAGAAAGAUGGUUGGUUAGAUGCUUGUACUGAAUAGCUGAAGCGUAAGCUCUAUCAAAAAGAGGGGUGGAGUUAGAUUUAUUAAAGACGUUUCCAUUUCUACAAUUCCAGACUUUCCACAGGCAGAAUACAAAGAGGUCUUCAAGGUUUAUGUGGUUGUCAAAGGUUUUGUUAUGAACCCAAUUUUUUACAACAUCGAGCAUAUUGUCCUUAGUCAUGUCAUCCAAGUUUGGUGGGUUACAUCCCAGUUGGUUGAAGAGUUUGGUCCAUAGCUGAGACGCUUUAGGACACUUCCAAAAAAUAUAGAAAAUAUCUUCUUUAAUGCAAUUGCAGCAGUAGCAGUUGGGGGUAAUAGGGACACCUCUCCUCAUAAGAAUGGAGUUGUAAGAGAGCCCAGAGAAAGGGUUUCAUAUUAUUGGGGACUUUCAAGUUCCAAAACCAUGUGAAGUUCUUGGUGUUGUUGGUUCGGUGUAUUUUGGAGUUGAUGAGCUUGAAAGCAGUGCUACUCUUGAAUUGCCCAUUGCCCGUAAGUUCCCAGAUUGGAUAGUCUAUGGGACUCUUAGUAGUAUGGAAAAAAGUAGACUGAUAGUGUGGAUGACAGCACGGGGUAGAAUAAAUAGUAAGAAGGAGAAAUCCCAAUUUCCAUUUUGCCAGAAGUCAGAGAUAGUGGCUUGAUGUAGGUUUUUUGUAGGAGGUCCUUGUAUAGUAUUAGAAAGGGCAUCAGUGUUGGCAAGCCAUUUGUCAAACCAAAAUUUUACUUGUUCCCCUUUAUGGAUAAUCCACAGAGAGGCUUCCCUGCAUACAGCUUUGCCUUUGGUGAUGCAUUUCUAUGUUCUAGAAUUUCUUUGAUUGGAAUUAGAAGGGCUGUAUUUGUUGAGUAAGAUUCUGGACCAAAGAGAUUGAGGGUUCUUUAUAAGUCUCCAAGCUAAGGAGCAGUGCAUAGUAUCAUUCUUGAUAGUAGCUUUUUCGAUUCCCAAGCUUCCCAGAGACUUAGGUUGAGUAAUUACAUCCCAUUUAACCAUGUCCAUCUUUUUUCUUUCAUCCGUGGUACCCCAAAUAAAGUCCCUUUGAAUUUUAUCAAUCGGUGGGUAAUCUUAUGGGGUAGCUGAAUGUAUUGCAUGACAUAGGUUGGGAUACUAUUCAGAGAAGCUCUAGUGAGAGUGGUUCUUCCAGCUUGGUUGAGAAAUUUAGUUUUCCAACAAGUUAGCUUCGCUUUCAUGUUAUCAAUGAUGAACUGGAAAUCUGCCUGAGUGGGGGUUUUGUGGAGAUAAGAAAGCCAAGGUAUUUCCAAAUUUAUCUAUGUUCUGAAUGUUAAGAAUGGAAGAAAGGUAAUUGCAAUCAUCCCUGAAGAAGUUCUUGGAGAAGAUAACCUUGGAUUUGGUUCUAUUGAUCUUCUGGCCAGAAAAAUUACUGAAGGAUUCAAGAGUUCUCUUGAUAGUUUGACAGUUAUCCUUAGUGGCUUUAGCAGAGAAGGUUAGGUUAUCCGCGAAGAAAAGGUGGAAAAGUUUGGGACCUCUCCUACUGAUGAAAACAAGGGACCAAUUGAGAAGGUCAACCUCAUGAUUUAUCCUUCUAGAAAAGAGUUCCAUGGUUAGGAUGAAAAGAUAAGGAGAAAUGGGGUCCCCUUGUCUAAUUCCCCUAGUUGGUUGGAAGUACUGGGUGCUAGCACCAUUAGUGAGGAUGGAGAUAGAGGAGGUUGAAAUGCAAAACAUGAUCAAUUUAUAAAGCUUAUUAGGAAAAUUGAAGUAAUGAAGGGCUUGUCUAACGGAAGACCACUCAAGUCUAUCAAAAGCUUUCUCAAGAUCUAUUUUGAUGAUCAUGUUGCCCAUUCUACCUUUCAUAUUCUUGAAAUGGUUUAUGUAUUCCUGGAUAAGGAUUGCAUCGUCUGAGACCCUUCUGUUGGAUAAAAAGCUAGAUUGGGUAGGGCCAGUGAUAUUAGGUAAGAAGGGCUUGAUUCUGUUGGCUAUUAUUUUAGUAAUGAUUUUAUAUUGGGUGUUACAUAGGACAAUGCGUCUGAAGUUUCACAUGGAAACUGUAUUCUAAUAUUUGGGGAUAAGACAGAUGUAGGUAGAGUUCACCUGUUCAUCCAUUUUUCCAGAAAAUAAAACUUUUUUACAAAAGGAAAUAAGUUGUGAACUGAUGGUAUCCCAAAAUCUUUGGAAGAAAAAAGGAUGCAGGCCAUCAGGGCCUGGAGCUUUGGUAGUUUUAAAGUUGAACACAACUUUCCUGAUUUCAUUGAUAGUUGGGAUACUGUCAAGCAUAUUAUGAGCAUAGUCUGGCAGGGAGCCCUUAGAUGAAGGAUUCUUCUGACAACAGAGAUAGGAGAGAGUAUGAUCAGUACAGUAGAGGUCUCUAUAGAAUAUAAGAAUAGCUUAGUUUAUGUCUGCAGGGUCAGAUAACCAACUAUCAUUAUCCAGCUUUAGAGAGUUGAUUCUAUUCCUUCUUCUCCUAUUAAGGGUGACAGUGUGAAAGAACUUGGUAUUAGCAUCUCCUUCUGUGAGCCAAUUAAUUCUCUAUUUGAGUUUCCAUAAUUCAUGCUCUUGUUUGAGGGUGUCACUAUACUCUUUAAGGAGGGUGGAUUCAAGGUUAUGAAGGAAGCAGUUAGUUGGAUAUUGGGCACUCUUUUGGAUACCCGCAACAAUUAAAAGUUAAUAAUUAAUCAACUAAUUAAAUAAAAAAAAUAUUACCCUUGAAAUCUUACAAGUAAAAAACCUACAACCUGAAUUUUGUUGAGUCCAAGAAGUCUUUAACAGAGCUUCAUGAAUGCACUUACAAUAUCAAAAAUCUUUAUCACAAAAAAUAGUGGAAGAUGCGCUCGACAUUGUCAAGGUCAAUUGAAAAAAUGAAAGUAAUAAUUUGAAGAAUUUGGAUAGAUAAAAGAAGAUGACGAUGAGGAAGAAGAAGAUUUGGGAAUUUAGGGUUAAAUUUUAGAUGGAAAAAGUGCCAAAUGGCAGCAAGUCAGCAAAAAGUGCCAAACUGACAUAUUUGAUGUCUAUUUUAUUUUACGUGUUUAAAAUAAACAGUCUACUUGAUGUCUAUCUGUUGCAAUAGGUUGGUCCUAUGUUGCAUUAUCUCGAUGUUUCUAAAUGAAAUAAGUCAACGAAUAAAUGAAAUGUAAAAAAAUUAUUAUGGGUACAGAUCUCAACAAAUACAUCAACAAUUUAAGUAUGAUGCCAAGGAUUACUUUGACAGGCUUAAGCUAUAAAGAUCUACUCAAUAUAGACAAGUUGUUCUUUAGCUGGUGCUAUAGAAUUCGGCUUUGCUCGUCGUGGAUAUUUAUUGUCGCUUACGUACGGUUCUGCAUUUUUUGUUCUCCGUAUUUCCAUAAAAAGAGUAGCAUAUUGUCAAUAUUAUUCAGCAGUAGCAUCUAUAUCCACCUGGUAAGCCAGAAUUGGUCAAUACUAAUCACGGAGAUACAACAAAAUAGAAAAGGAUAACUCAUCUUUUCUAGAAAAUCAAAUAGCUCUUCCUCCUGUUUUAAAUUAUCCCAAAUAGAUUAUAUUUCCGUUGCAAUAAUGAAUCACCUGUUAGGACAAAUUUCUACAUGAGGAAGACUUGUAUGAUAAUUUUCAAUGGAUGAACCAUCCAUUGCAACAUAUGAAUCAUCUGUUGCAGCAGAUAGGUUGUGUGUUGGUACAAAUAAAAGCGGUACGAAGAGCUAUUUGAUUUGCUAAAACAAAUGAGAUAUAUGUCCCAAUAGAGACUUUAUCUGGUGCAAUAAGUUAGUGAACUUUUGCAACAGAUCUAUAUAUCUGUUUGAUAAUUUUCAGCAGAUGUAUCAUAUGUUGAAAUAAGUAUAUGUCUGUUCAUUUUGUUAGUUGGAAGACAUAUAUAUUCACCUUCUUCAGCUCGUGCUACUCUCUUUUGGAUAUUGUACAUUGCUUAGUGCGACACACAGACAGAGGAGUUGCAAUUUUGCUUUUUUGGAUGCUAGAUAAUUCCUUGGAAAUCACUUUCCUUCUCCUCUUAGUCCUAAUCUCUAAUGGAGCGGAUGAAAAUAAAAUCCUCUUUGAUGGAAUGAUACCCUUUUUAGAUGUCAAUUCCUUUAUAAAAGUAGUUAAUGCAUUAAUGGCAUUAAUCACUACAUCAUAUUUCGCCCUACAGUCUUGACAUUUCCAUGCAGAACAUUCGCUAGGAGAGGAAAAAUCUGUAUAACCAGUAUGAUCAUACUCAUAGUGAUUUGCUUUAAAUACUAUAAGAGGAGCAUCAUUAGCACCAACAGCAGCACCACUACCACCACCAACAGCUCCAUCCCCACUAAAACCAUCAACAACAACAAGCCCACCCUCUAAAUUUAUUUUUCUUGUAAUGGUUGUUGCUCUAAACAGUUCCAUUUUUAUUCUGUCGAUGACCUUAGGGUCCGAUAAAGUUUGUACAGACCAUAAAGUAAGAAAAAAUGGAAUCUUCAACUCUCGAUUGGUCGGAACUAGAGACAGAUGCACAAUCUAACAUAAAUCAUUACAUGUAUUAGAACGAUGAUUAGAUCAUUCAAAAAAAUCAUUAAUUAAAAGAAAAAAUUAAUUAUAAUUAUACUUACUGCAUCCUUUGGGGGGUUGAAGAGAUCAAGAAAUUUUGUAUUUUUAUCAGUUUUGGCCGAAAAUCAUCUCAAGAUUCUUGGACAGGAAACUCCUUCCUGGUAGUUCACAUGUUGUCUCAAAUGAGGAAUGGCUUCAAACACCCAAGCCUAGAAAAUAAUGUCAAUAAAUCAAAACCAUUAUUGAGUAAAAAAAAAUGAAUGAUAUCAUAAUAAAAGGAAGAAACAUUCACCAUGAAAGCCCAUGGAAAGCCAUAUAAGUUGAUUGUCUUUGGUACUAACACAGGCAACAAAUAUUUGACAGUCAUUUUGACACUUUCAUAACCCCAAGGAUAGUUUUUAAACACCUCAAGAUCCUUGGAGAGAUUUAUUAAACCAACACUUAUAUUGUUGUUAAUGUCUCUCCUCCAAAGAAUAUUAUGUACAAACCAAACCAAACACAACGACUGCUUGUGCUUCUUUAAAAGUUCUUUACCUUUCAACACUUCUAUCAAAUUUUUAUUUUUAAAACUUGGACCAAAAAUGGACACCAGGUCAUCACAAUCACACGACUUUCCUUUGCCAUUUUUGGGUGUGCAGGGUGCUUUUCAGUGUUAGAAUAGGUAUAACUUAAGAAGGAGGAUAACAUUUUAGUCUAGUAACUAUGGCAAACUCCUUUCAAUCAAAACAGACAGGCAUGCCACAGUAAUUUCUCCACACCUUAUCCAUCUUAUCUUUAUUUUCAUACAUAAACCUAUGCUUGAGAAAUUCAUAUACCAUUUUUAUUUGGAAACGAGCAUUGUUGUCCUCCGGUAAAUCAAGAAAUUUUCCAAAGCAGCUGUCCCUGAAAUAAGCAUUUAAUUUUUGUUCUCGAAGUAUUUUUCUUAGGGCAUCGAAAGAUUUUUCCAUGGCUAACUUAACCACAAAAUCACCAGUUAAAUCUAUGGAACCAUCGCACUGCAUUCUCACUGGAUAACGAUCAAUGUUGAAGGCUUUAACCAACUCUUCGGUAGAAAGGCAAUUAGUAUUUGCAUUAUCUCUUUUGAAAUAUUCCUUCUCCACAUGUUUAUCAUAUUCUACUCCCGAUUGAGAUAACACUUGUAAAUCUAGCUCAUGGAGUGGUGGAUGUAGCCUAGCUGCUUCACUUGUUCCUUUACUUGGACUUGAUUCGGUUUCUGUUGUUUUGGGAACCAUAUUAUCUAAAAUUAAAAAAAACAUAAAAAAUAUAUUAUAGUUGAUUAAUGCAUCUUUAAAAAGGAUAACAGUAAAUCAAACAGUAAAAUAACAGUUGUAACAGAUUAAUGAUCUGUUGCACCAGGUAGUAUAUCUGUUACAGUAUAUAACCAACCUGUUGUAGCGGAUGAGUAAUCUAUUGUAAUAAUACAAAACAUAUCACUCAUAUUUUAAGACAGAUGAAUGGUCUGUACAACAGAUCACACAUCUGUUGCAACAUCAUCUAUUACAAUAUAUGAGUGAUCUGUUGGAAUAGUUAAAUAACCUGUAGCAAUGACUGAGUAAUCUAUUAUGACAAUACAAAACAUAUCACUCAUCUAUUGAGAAAGAUGAAUGGUCUAUACAACAGAUCACACAUCUAUUGUGACAUCAUAUGUUGCAAUAUAUGAGUAAUUUAUUAGAAUAGUUAAAUAACCUAUAGCAAUAGAUGAGUAAUCUGUUAUAACAAUACAAAAUAUAUCACUCAUAUAUUGGGAAAGAUGAAUGGUCUGUGCAACAGAUCACACAUCUGUUGCAACAUAUGAGUGAUUUGUCAGAAUAGUAAAUAACCUGCAGCAACAACUGAGUAAUCUGUUAUGAUAAUACAAAAUAUAUCACUAAACUAUUGAGAAAGAUAAAUGGUCUGUGCAACAAGUCACACAUAUGUUGUAACACAUGAGUGAUCUAUUGAAACAGUUAUCAACGAUCAAUAUUGCUUAGAUUUCUUCCAACAUAGAUUCAUAUAUUGCCACAGAUGAAUGAUCAGUUGGAAAAAUUAAGUCUUGGGCAUUUUCUAUUGGAAGAAUUGAUAAGAUAUUAUCCAACAACAGGUUCAUCUGUUGCAUCAGAUCAUUAAUUUGAUGGUUCUUCUGUUGCAUCAGAUGGUUAAUUAUUUGCAUCAAAUUUUUUAUCCGAUGCUUAAUCUGUUGCAACAUAUGGUUAAUCUGUUGCAUCAGAAUUAUAAUCUGAUGGUUUCUCUGGUGCAUCAGAUGCUUGAUUUGUUGCAUCAUAUAACAAAUCUGUUGCAUCAGAUGGUUAAUAUGUUGCACUAGAUGAGUAAUCUGUUGGAGAAAACAAAAUUAGUUCCACGAUUUGUUCAACAAAAAAAAUAGCAAUAUCACCAUUUUUACCAAGAACAAGAACAGAACAAAUCAACCCAAAUUGUUGUUUUGUUUUUAUAAACACAAAUAAUAAAAAUCAAACUUCAAAAAAAUGCAAAAAACAACAAAAAAACAUAAUUCACUUUAAAAAGAGAAGAGAAAAAAUACCAGAAAUUAGGAUUUUAUUCAGGCCGCAUUUCAAAUUAAUGUAACAAAUAUUGAAAUUGUUAACCAAUACUAUAAGAGAAGCUGGCUCAAGUUCCUCUUUUUUUUUUUUCAAAAGUAAAAAGGCCAUAAAUUUUUACCUAUAAAAAAGAAAAUAAAUGAUGAAGAAUUCAAAGUUGUUGUGUUCGGAGAGCAAGGAUGUCACGUCGAUUAAAGGUUGAAGUCAAAAAUAAAUUCGAAGCCCAACUAUUUAUAGUCGGGUGUUAAAUUCGCCGAGGAUUGAAAUGGAAAAUUUGCAGAACAGUUGGUUGGGAGAGAAUUGAGAGAAGUUGUCGAGAGAGGGAUGCGAGAUAGGUUGAUUUGAAUUGAAGAGGAGAACUCGAAGCCCAACUAUUUAUCGCCGGAGGUAGAAGUCGUCGAGGAUUGAAGGGAGAAUUUUGCAGAACUGUUGGUUGGGAGAGAGUUGAGAGAAACUAUUGAGAGAGAGAGAGGAGAGAGGGUGGUUGAUUUGGAUUGAAGAGGGGUAUGGGUUGGGUUGAUUUGUAUUUUUGAAAAGAUUAGAAAGUUUUAAAAAUAUUAAUCAAGUCCACAAUUAACUUAAUCAAGUUUUCUAAUGAUGUUUGACUCUUUAAGUUGGUCAAUGUCACCAAUCCUUCAUUCAAGAUUUAAAAGACACCUUUCCUUCAAUUUUCUCAAGAAACUAAGUCAACUAAAUUGUACUAUUACAUUUUCUUCAGCUAUGUGUUUCUUCCAAAAAUGACAGCAAUUCUUUUACAAAAAAAGAUAGCAACAAAUCAGCAUAGAAAAAUACAAUAAAUAUUUGAAAAAAAUAACAGAUAAAAACAAACAAAAAUUAUACUAAUUAGUCAAGUUUAUUGAAGUGCCCAGUAAAUUUUUUAUUUUGUCUAUGACAAGAAAAUAAAGAAUUUUUUUUUGUAUCUUACAAAAUUUUUCAUCUUCAAUAAUUCGAAAGAAAAUAUCUAAAAGUAAUAAGCCUCUAAAGUACGUGUAUUGAACGUAUAUAUUACGUCAAUUCAUAAAAAAUGUAUUCGCUUCUUUUUACUUAUCACAAGAUUUUGUACUUAAAAUAUACAAUAAUUCUUUUCCCUUUAACAAUAAUAUCAAUUUUAGAUUAGCGUGUGAAAUAAAUCUUAAUCGAGGCUAUACUUACAAAGAUAAAGAACAUUCAUUAUUCAUCAUCAAGAAAUUCAACGUAAUGAAAAAGAAAAUCAAGAAUCGAAAACCACGAAGUUACGUCAAAGAUUCAAUAACAGAAGUUACUUACAAACAUAAAAAGAUAUUUUGUUAUUUUUGAUUAAUAACACCAGCAUAAGAGAAAAAGAAAUCAUCAAGAAAUUCAAUGUAAUGAAAAAGAAAACCCGAAAUUGAAAAUCACGAUUUACGUCAGAGAUACAAUAACGAAAGUUACUUACAAACAUAAAAAGAUGUUUUGUUAUUCUUGAUCAAUUACACAAGCAUAAUAGAAAAGGAAAUUUGAAACUUGAAUAUUAAAUCAAAAAAUUAAGUUAGAAACUCAAUAACAAAGCUACUUACAAACAUAUUAAAAUAAUUUGUUGUACUAUUAUGUGUUGUAGAAGGAAGAUUAUUCAAUUUAUAGAAGUACAACAUCUUUUUUUGUUACUUAAAUAUGGGAUUUGUUUUAUUUUUUUGAAAAUUAAAAAAUAAUUAUGGUAAUAAAUUAUUUAUGAUAAUAUUUAUUUUUGCUAAGUAAAUUAUUUAUGUUAGUAUUUUAAUUUUAUUUUUUAUUUUUUUUUAAGUUUUAAAUUUAAGUAUAUGAUUUAAUUCAAUUAAAGAAGUCUAAUGAUUAUAUUAGAGGUACAAAGGAAUAAGGCAAUUUCUUACAAAUUUUUUCCUCCCUUUUCUUUAGGAAUUUUUGGGUUUUUUUCUAAAGUUCUAAAUUAAAUUAGAAAAAAUACAUAAAGUAGCAUACUUAAGUAUUAAAUAUUAAAAAAUAAGAACACUUUAUCAAAUUACAUUUUGUAGCAUAUGUAUUUGUAUGUAUUUGUAUUUUUGUAGCAACAGUUUGCAAAAAUACAAAAUACAUAUUGAUCAUAAGUGUAGCACCUAAUUUCGUCCCUCUCCGACAUCACUUUUAUCCAUUUUUACUUUAUCCUACCGUGUACCCUCAUCUACAUGAUAAUCCCACAAAAAUACAAAAAAAUAACAAAAAUUCAAUAAAUCCCUAACCUUAUCAUAACAAACUUUAUCCUAAUCACCUACUACCCCACCCUCUCACGUGACCCUCACCCUUUCCUUUUCUAGUCCACAAGUAUAUUCCCUUAACAGAAUUGAGAAAAUGAACUUUCAACGAAACUUCCAAAUGCACACCUCACUCAUGGACCCCACUAUUUUGUUUCUUUUUGUUUUUAUUUUUAUCAAGCACGCACAACAACUUGGGAGGGACCCACAGAGGGAGGAUUCCCAAUUCCCAUUCAAUUUAGAGGGACCCACAGAAGGAAAAAGUCUUGGAUUUUCUUGAAUUCAAUAUAUACAUCAUAUCUUUUUCAUCUUCUUGGUGGACAAAAAAUUGACAAGAGCAGAUACGCCAUUUUCUUUAGCUUUCUUCUUCCUCACAACACAUACACUACACACAGCUUCAACGCAUACACACAGUCACGAUUGAAAAAAGAGAGAUCUACGAGAGAAAAGGGGAGAAAUCGAGAGAAACCAAAAAGAGAGGGAGAGAAUGAAAUCGAGUGAGAGGUAGAGGUGAGGAUCGAAAGGGGAGGUAGAGUCGCGUUUGGUUACUGUUCUGAUGACACAGUUGCCGGAGAACAUCGAUAUGACGUCCUUCAUCGAAAAGGGUCCCUCAUCAACGAUCUCAGUCAAAAUUAGCUUAAAUCACCCGUAAACCCAUCAUAAAUAAAUGGUUAAACAACCAACCUCCACCAGAAAUCAAUAGCCGAGUCUACCGGUAAAACCCACUUUCAUUUUCAAUGAAAUCUCACCGGGAAACAUUAUUUCGCUGACUGUCGAGAUCCAUCAAAACUUUGAUGAGUUCAAACUUCACCAAAAAUAGCAAAUCCGACGAGACCCGUUGCAAAUUGAGUUCGAAAUUUGAGUUUUGGAUUUUAUUUUUUAUGGUUUUCUCCGCUGUUUUAGGGGGUUUUGAUUGAGUUGGCAAGUUCGUAGUCGAGGUUCGAAUUGAGGUUCUUUUGUGCGCGGAUUCUGUGUUUUUUAUUGACUGAUAUUUGGAAUAAAAUCAUCAUCGAGGUCCAAUUCUACUCUUUACCUCUUUUUGUUUUAUUGUUGAUGGUAUCUGAUGCAUUGAUUUUAAUAUUGUGUGUUGGUUGAUUCGUGAUUAUGUGAAUUAUUGUUGUUCUGGUUCAGUAUUUGAUUCUCUUCAUUAUGGAUUGAUUAUGGAUUAUGUGAUGAAAUGAUAUCUCGUUUGAGAAUUAAAAUUGAUUGUUGUGGGGCAGAAGUUAAAAGUUGAUAAAAAUAUUUUUUGUUGUUUUGAUUCAUUGAUAUCGAACUUGAUAGUAUCCUGAUAGGUCGAAUUGGAUAGGCAAAAUAUUCAGGUACGGGUAGGCAAAAGUUAGGAGUGAUGUGUUGAUUCAAUGCAGCGAAUGUUAAAAUGUGUGUUGAAUGGUUUUGUUUUAUCACUUUUGGAUCAAUUGUACUAUUUGGCCGGGGAAUGCCCCGAAGUAUCUAUAUAUCUUUAUUCACCAGGGAAUGUCCUGAGGUAUUUUGUACCCGAAGGACGUUCGUGAUGAAGGCCCGAGGCGUUGGGUAAAGCACGGGAGCGUAGUUAAUGUUAGUGUAGGUUAGAUAGGAUUUAUUUUUGUAUUUUUCUAUUUUGGACUGUAUAAAUUAGACUGGACACUGUACUAUUGAUUCUUUUUGUUUUGUUUGUUUGUUUGAUUGUUUUACGUGUUUUGUGUGGGUUGUACAUUCAUAGUGUCAAAAUUAGCCGAUACGCUCCACCAAGCGAUUUCCCGAAAAAUCAAAAAUGUUAAAAAAAUUUCCUACUAUUUCUUUAGUAAGCAUUCAUAAUUUGAAAACUCCAAAAAUAUUAUUUUCCUUUCAAUAGGAGCUUUGUACAUUUGUAUAUAGUGAAAAUGCCAAAGAGAUUUUCCUUCGUAAUUGUUGGUGUCAGUUUUAGUUGAAGUGGCUAAUUAAAAACCCAAAAAAAAUUUUAUUCGUUUGUCUUUGGUGGUGUCUCUUAAGUUAGGGUCAAUCUGUUAGUUAGUCGAUAUUUGUCCAAUCUGGACGAACUACGCACCCCGGAUUCUCCUCUUUCGGGAUAUGAUAUAUAUAUAUAUAUAUUACUUUAUUGCACUCAUUUCCCGAAAAAUCAAAAAUGUUAAAAAAAUUUCCUACUAUUUCUUUAGUAAGCAUUCAUAAUUUGAAAACUCCAAAAAUAUUAUUUUCCUUUCAAUAGGAGCUUUGUACAUUUGUAUAUAGUGAAAAUGCCAAAGAGAUUUUCCUUCGUAAUUGUUGGUGUCAGUUUUAGUUGAAGUGGCUAAUUAAAAACCCAAAAAAAAUUUUAUUCGUUUGUCUUUGGUGGUGUCUCUUAAGUUAGGGUCAAUCUGUUAGUUAGUCGAUAUUUGUCCAAUCUGGACGAACUACGCACCCCGGAUUCUCCUCUUUCGGGAUAUGAUAUAUAUAUAUAUAUAUUACUUUAUUGCACUCAUUUCCCGAAAAAUCAAAAAUGUUAAAAAAAUUUCCUACUAUUUCUUUAGUAAGCAUUCAUAAUUUGAAAACUCCAAAAAUAUUAUUUUCCUUUCAAUAGGAGCUUUGUACAUUUGUAUAUAGUGAAAAUGCCAAAGAGAUUUUCCUUCGUAAUUGUUGGUGUCAGUUUUAGUUGAAGUGGCUAAUUAAAAACCCAAAAAAAAUUUUAUUCGUUUGUCUUUGGUGGUGUCUCUUAAGUUAGGGUCAAUCUGUUAGUUAGUCGAUAUUUGUCCAAUCUGGACGAACUACGCACCCCGGAUUCUCCUCUUUCGGGAUAUGAUAUAUAUAUAUAUAUAUUACUUUAUUGCACUCAUUUCCCGAAAAAUCAAAAAUGUUAAAAAAAUUUCCUACUAUUUCUUUAGUAAGCAUUCAUAAUUUGAAAACUCCAAAAAUAUUAUUUUCCUUUCAAUAGGAGCUUUGUACAUUUGUAUAUAGUGAAAAUGCCAAAGAGAUUUUCCUUCGUAAUUGUUGGUGUCAGUUUUAGUUGAAGUGGCUAAUUAAAAACCCAAAAAAAAUUUUAUUCGUUUGUCUUUGGUGGUGUCUCUUAAGUUAGGGUCAAUCUGUUAGUUAGUCGAUAUUUGUCCAAUCUGGACGAACUACGCACCCCGGAUUCUCCUCUUUCGGGAUAUGAUAUAUAUAUAUAUAUAUUACUUUAUUGCACUCAUUUCCCGAAAAAUCAAAAAUGUUAAAAAAAUUUCCUACUAUUUCUUUAGUAAGCAUUCAUAAUUUGAAAACUCCAAAAAUAUUAUUUUCCUUUCAAUAGGAGCUUUGUACAUUUGUAUAUAGUGAAAAUGCCAAAGAGAUUUUCCUUCGUAAUUGUUGGUGUCAGUUUUAGUUGAAGUGGCUAAUUAAAAACCCAAAAAAAAUUUUAUUCGUUUGUCUUUGGUGGUGUCUCUUAAGUUAGGGUCAAUCUGUUAGUUAGUCGAUAUUUGUCCAAUCUGGACGAACUACGCACCCCGGAUUCUCCUCUUUCGGGAUAUGAGAUACGUAGGCAACUUAUUGUUGGUUCGGGGAUCUUAUUUCAAAAAUCCAUAAAAAUAUUUUAUUCAUUCUUCAUUUAGAGUAGGUGUUUCAUAUACAUCUUCAAGAGAAAACUACAAAAGAUUUUCCUUUAAUAGUUUCAAGUUUCAUUUUCGAAUGAAAUUCAAAAUUGAAAAAGCCAAAAGAUUUUCUUUGGUAAUUAUAGGUUUUAUUUCAUAUAGAAAUCUGAAAAAUUCGAAAAAAAAAAAUCUUCUUCACUCUACAUUUAGAGUAGGUGUCAUAUACGUCUCUCAAAAGAAAACUACAAAAAGAUUUUUCUUUAAUAGGUUCAAGUUUCAUUUUUGCAUGAAAUUCAAAUAUCAAAAAUCCAAAAAGAUUUUUCUUUGGUAAUCAUAGGUUUCGUUUUGUAUAGGGAGUUUAAACCUGAAAAAUGCAAAAAGAUUUUCAUUAGUUCUUUUGACAAUUUGUUAUUUUUGAAGUUUCAAGAAAAAGAAAAAGAAAGAAAAAAUAGUUUAAUUGGCCAUUUUGGCAAAACUUCACAAAAUAGUUUAAUUGGCCAUUUUGGCAAAACUUCACGAACUACGCACACCUGAUUCUCUUCUCUCGGGGGUGAGAUACGUAGGCGCCCUUCUUGGGUUCGGUGAUCUACUCUAAUAGAAAAAAGGUUUUGAAGAAAAAUGUUGAACUCUAACAUAUUUGUUGCCUCUUGUUCAGUUAGUUUAAGGUGGUUGUUUUGUGGCUGCCUUGCUGGUCCUCCAUAUCAUAUCAAAUCCGAAGAAAGUUUAGUUGUGUCCAAAAAGGAUAUAGAGAGUGGCAUCAUGGAUGAAACAAAGAGUCAGGAAAUUGAGAGUUUAAAGAAAGAGAAUUUGAGACUGAGACAAAUGGUGGAAAUGUACCGAGCUUAGGUCAGUGGGUUGUCUCCACCCCCGUUCCCCAUUUUUGGCCCUACAAAUACCUUGAGUCUUCUACCAAAAUUGCAAAAUCAAUUUCCUACUAUUAUUGAUGCACCACAACAUGCCUUAAAAUCCAUUCCACGUCAAAUUCACCUCAAUACUUCCACCACUCUUUCUUUAGCUCCUCAAUAUAAGUCUACCAUAUUCGUAACACCACAUACCGUCUGUGCUUUUGUUACUCAACCUUCUACUAAGGUUUCCACUUUGGCAAUCAAUCCAACGAUUGUGCUUCCCCAGUCCACUAGUGAAUCCGCAUUCAAUACUCUUGAUGAUCAUUGUUAUACUCUUGAGCCUACAGUUAAGUUAAGUGAACCGCCAAAAUUUCUUACUAAGAAGCCUAGCAUGCUAGAAAAGCUUGAGAAAAUGGUUCGGAAGGUUAAGGGUGUAGAAAAUGAUAUGAAAAGUUCCUUGGGACUUGUGGGAUAUGAAGAUGUUUCAUAUAAAAACUGGGGUAUGUUUCCAAGUGUUGACCUUCUUCCAAGCUUUGAGACAUCAAAAUUUGAGGAGCUUGAUGGACAGAAUAAUUUUGUGAAAUAUUUGGGACGAUAUUGCAAUCGAUCAAUGAAAACUGAAGAAAAGAAAAAGAAAAAUGCCCCCGUUGUCGUGCCAGGGACAAAGUAGAGUUUAAGAGGUCUAUCUUACCAAUACUGUCAGCCUCAAUCUUGAGCUUACAUAUCAAAUCCACUUACUCAUCUGCAGCAAGGUUCCUCUUUUCAAAAUCCAAAGACUUUCAUUCCACUUCCUCAAUGUCCUUUGAAUAAUGCACAAUUGUUUACCCAUCCGUCUUCUUAUCCAAAAUGGCAUGCACAUAUCCCUCAACAUCAUCAUCGACCCCCACAAAUUUACCAAGGAACCUCUAAAUCAACAUUUCAUUCGAGGCCAGAGUUUGCAAUGAUGAGGAAAGAAAAGGAUAAUUUUACUCCUAUUAGGGAAUCUUAUGCAUGUUUGUUCCAGAGAUUGAGACAUAGGGGCAUGAUUACUCCUCUCCUUGGGCACACGCUUAAUCGAUGUUCAAAAAAUUUUAAUCCUAAUGUACGUUGUGCAUAUCAUUCUAAUGCUCAAGGUCAUAGUAUUGAAGAUUGUCGAGAUUUGAAAAGAGAAAUUGAAAAGAUGAUUCAAGAUGGAUCAAUUAUGGUGCAAAAUAUUAACAGUGAGGAAAGCUCUAGUCAUGCUGAUAUGCAAACCAGUGGCUAAUUUAUCAGGCUGAGCAAUUGAGAAGUCACCCCUNNNNNNNNNNNNNNNNNNNNNNNNNNNNNNNNNNNNNNNNNNNNNNNUUUCUGUUGUCCGAAUUAUUUUAGGAUUGUAGUUCGGGAUCGAUCUUGUUUUGUCCCUUUGUUGUUUAUGCUCAAACCCUUCUAUCUUUUGUUUCAACUAAAUGAAGUGUCCCAUUUUCUUUGUGUUUUAAAUAUGUGUUGUUUGUUUGUUUUCUUUACAUAGUACAUUUUUAUGUUGAUUCUAGUGAUAUGACAUGCUAGUAAAAUUUUCAACCAUAUCUUAUAAUUUAGUUUAAACAUGAACAUUGAAUCAGAUGAUUAAAGUUAGAAAAGAGGGCAUAUGAGAAAACAGAUAGAGUGCUGGGGCAUUUGGUGAUUAAGUUGAAGCCUUCUUUGAAAAUUAAGGCAAUUAUUUUGAGAAUUGUGAGAAUAACUUGGUCAUCAAUUUAAAGACAUAUCUUAAUUAAGUCAAGUGGUGAAUCAAUCCUAUGUCAAAAGGAGCAGAAAGAAAAUCAGCUCCAUGAUGUCAUGAGUCCUUCUUCAUGAGGAAUGUACAAAGAAAGUGGAGUUGUAUGUUUGACAAGGGUAGAAGAAGAAUUGGCACACAUGCUUAGUUGAAGUUAGUACUGUUAAAGUGUCACAAAUGAUUUUUAUCUUUUAUUUCAUAUUGCAUGAUAUGUACUUACAUUUUCAAGGAUUGAUAUGAUGAAGGAAUUUCAUUCUGCUAUCCAAACAUUGUGUCAUCCUUUGUUUACCCUAUUUGAGCCUUAUUCUAUUUUAUUUCAUACCCCUCUUUUGGAAUCAAGAUAGAGUCAGUAAAAUUCAAAAGAAAAGUGUCGAGCAAAAGACUAGAAUCAGAAAAGUUUUCAAAAGAAGAAGAGAAAAAAACGUGUCCAAAAAGAGAAAAGUGUCAAGACAAAUAGAGUCAGAAUAUCUAAAUAGAAAAGAAUGUCAACAAA
RNAcentral lists this long non-coding RNA (43583 nucleotides) under Capsicum annuum. RNAcentral describes it as "long non-coding RNA (CANN_LNC016424)". Lineage: Eukaryota; Viridiplantae; Streptophyta; Magnoliopsida; Solanales; Solanaceae. The record is from RNAcentral.